This 183-nucleotide non-coding RNA is filed under the name Thiotrichales bacterium HSG1. RNAcentral describes it as "6S RNA". It matches the Rfam family "6S / SsrS RNA". Rfam says of the family: E. coli 6S RNA was the first non coding RNA to be sequenced, but its function was unknown until recently. Lineage: Bacteria; Pseudomonadati; Pseudomonadota; Gammaproteobacteria; Thiotrichales. The record is from RNAcentral.
AUUUCUCUACUUGGUGAAUCAAAACUUUUGAACCUAAUCUAUAAAUACAGGAACUGAGUUGUAGAGGCGUUGUGAGCAAGCCCAUCUAGUUCUGCUAGUCAAUGGGAAGCCUAAGAUGUCUCUCCGAAGUUCCCACCUGGAACAAAUGGUUCUAAGGUGCUGCAAUUCACUGAUGGAGAGAUA